GAUGAACGCUGGCGGCGUGCUUAACACAUGCAAGUCGAACGGAAAGGCCGAAGCUUGCUUCGGUACUCGAGUGGCGAACGGGUGAGUAACACGUGGGUGAUCUGCCCUGUACUUCGGGAUAAGCUUGGGAAACUGGGUCUAAUACCGGAUAUGACGAUCUCUUGGAUGGGGUUGUGGAAAGCUUUUGCGGUAUGGGAUGAGCUCGCGGCCUAUCAGCUUGUUGGUGGGGUAAUGGCCUACCAAGGCGUCGACGGGUAGCCGGCCUGAGAGGGUGUACGGCCACAUUGGGACUGAGAUACGGCCCAGACUCCUACGGGAGGCAGUAGUGGGGAAUAUCGCACAAUGGGCGCAAGCCUGAUGCAGCGACGCCGCGUGGGGGAUGACGGCCUUCGGGUUGUAAACUCCUUUCGCAAUCGACGAAGCCUUUUGGUGACGGUAGGUUGAGAAGAAGCACCGGCUAACUACGUG
Molecule: ribosomal RNA, 468 nt
Filed under: uncultured bacterium
Lineage: Bacteria
Description: partial 16S ribosomal RNA
Rfam family: Bacterial small subunit ribosomal RNA
Source: RNAcentral